GAUUUGCAUUUCUAACAAGUUCCCAGGUGAUGCUGAUGUUGC
This 42-nucleotide microRNA precursor is filed under the name Canis lupus familiaris (dog). Its description in RNAcentral is "miRNA (ENSCAFG00000056512.1)". Lineage: Eukaryota; Metazoa; Chordata; Mammalia; Carnivora; Canidae. The record is from RNAcentral.